RNAcentral lists this unclassified non-coding RNA (220 nucleotides) under uncultured Polyporales. Its description in RNAcentral is "sequence contains ITS2". Lineage: Eukaryota; Fungi; Basidiomycota; Agaricomycetes; Polyporales. The record is from RNAcentral.
AUCUCUCAAUCGCUCUGGCUUUGUUGACAGUGCGAUUGGACUUGGGGGCUUGCCGGCGUAGUCGGCUUCCCUUGAAUGUAUUAGCUUGGGUCUUGACCGCAAGGAUCCUCGGUGUGAUAAUUAUCUACGCCGUGACAACUUGUGGCGCGUGUGACCGCACCCUCGGGUGGCGUGUGACCGGACCGUCAAGCUUACAAUCGUCCUCGGACAACUUCUUGAC